AAUCAACGCUGGCGGCGUGCCUAACACAUGCAAGUCGAACGCGAAAGUGGAGCAAUCCAUGAGUAGAGUGGCAAACGGGUGAGUAACGCGUGGGCGACCUACCUCAGAGUGGGGGAUAAC
Molecule: ribosomal RNA, 120 nt
Filed under: uncultured bacterium
Lineage: Bacteria
Description: partial 16S ribosomal RNA
Rfam family: Bacterial small subunit ribosomal RNA
Source: RNAcentral